UUUACUUCCAGGAUGGCUGGGUGGUCAGAGAUCUUCACUGAACUGACAGGUACCCCUCUGUUCUUUCCUAUUGUGCCCUGAAGUCAGACAUGCAUAUAGUGAUUUCAGUGCAUCACAUCCUUCAGUUCAUUGUGGGCCUGAAAACCUAACACAAAAGGCCAGGAAAAGGUGAUAAUGCACUUUCAGAGGCUGUAAAAGAAAUGUACAGGACUUGAACAAAGAUAGCACAGAGCCCAUAUAAGAGAGUCAGAAUGAGAACAGAGUCAGCUGGUCAAAUGCAGAAUAAAUUGGAAUCUGUGGUCUCCUUGUGGUUGUGAAGAAGCUGGUGAAUGGAACAUGCCAGAAAGGCGCUCCACGGGCAGACUGCAUGCAUGCUGCUGGUUUGUGAAUAUGGAAGGAGCAAUGCCAGUUAUUCCCCAGUGCCAGAACAACUUUGCCUAGGAAAUGAGUGAGGUGAAAACUCUCUGAUGAAGCUGCACUUCCUUCAUCCCUGUGCCAUGAAACUCAGGGAGUGCUGGUGACUGCCCUUUUUGCGUUAUAUAAUGAAAACGUAAGUAUUGCUGUUGUUGUCUGCAACAAAAACGUUUAUGAAGUUUUGCUAUAGCACAUUUCUAUUUUUGCUUUCAAUGUUGGUUUUUUUUCUGUGAAAGCUUCUUGAUUGAACCUUCUUCUCUAAUAAUUUUUUACACAUGAAUUACAGAUCAUUCUAAUUAGCUUUUUAAUUACAGCUAGAGAAAGCUAUUUAGAACACUCCUGACUGUUAGAAACGAGUCCAUGUGGAGAAAAAUAAGAGGUAAUUAGCUUUAAAUGAAAAAUAGCUACUGUCAUUUCCCAGACAAAGGAGAGGGAGACAAUUUCUACGCUUCAUAGCAAAUACAGAAUUGGAUUGGAAAGGACUGUUCAGAGUCCAUGCCUUGAAAUCAUCUGAAAUUUAACUAGUUUUACACCAGGUAUUUACUAUGAUGAUUUUGAAGGCAUUGGUAUUCUAACUGUCUAAAUUCUUAGCAAGUCCAUUGCAACAUCUGGAUAAAGAGCAUCCCAGCUGUGUUAAAUGGAGAUGCUUUUUGUAAGAGUUGGGGACACUGCACUGUGCUAUAACCCAUGGAAUAGUAACAAAUUUUAGGAAUCUUCAAGUCAUCUCAGACCAAGAGCUCUUGCUAUGAAUUUGGUUCUUCUUGCAGAUUGU
RNAcentral lists this long non-coding RNA (1186 nucleotides) under Cyanistes caeruleus (blue tit). RNAcentral's name for it is "lncRNA (ENSCCEG00000013680.1)". The record is from RNAcentral. Lineage: Eukaryota; Metazoa; Chordata; Aves; Passeriformes; Paridae.